Non-coding RNA from Danio rerio (zebrafish), 313 nucleotides. The record is from RefSeq and is a predicted model, not a curated record. NCBI's taxonomy places the organism in Eukaryota, Metazoa, Chordata, Actinopteri, Cypriniformes, Danionidae.
CACAACGUUGCCUCAACGUAGCGACCUUCCUACAACGUUGUACCAACCUUGCAAAAAGGUUGAGGAUUCUACGUUGUUGCUAAACGUUGUCACAACGAUGUCAUAAGGUUGCCAUUUAAACAUCACGAGGGCCGCAUACUUUAGGUUGUGCUUAGGUGGCGUGGACAACCACUGUACAACAUUUACUGGUCACAGCUGAAUCAGUUUAAAUUUCAACAAGCCGUCGUCUCAUUCAUCAACGACCGAGGAGACGCUAUUUUCACAUGGAGAAUGUUUUCAGCUGUUGAAUUCACCUCAGAUCAGUGUUGCUGUA